This 117-nucleotide ribosomal RNA is filed under the name Clostridium sp. NCR. Lineage: Bacteria; Bacillati; Bacillota; Clostridia; Eubacteriales; Clostridiaceae. The record is from RNAcentral.
UGUGGUUAUUAUAGCAAAGAGGAUACACCUGUUCCCAUUCCGAACACAGAAGUUAAGCUCUUUAGCGCCAAUGGUACUUGGUGGGAAGCUGCCUGGGAGAGUAGGACGUAGCCGCGU